Molecule: ribosomal RNA, 389 nt
Filed under: Chaetoceros sp.
Lineage: Eukaryota; Bacillariophyta; Thalassiosirophyceae; Chaetocerotales; Chaetocerotaceae
Description: partial small subunit ribosomal RNA
Rfam family: Eukaryotic small subunit ribosomal RNA
Source: RNAcentral
AUUCCAGCUCCAAUAGCGUAUAUUAAAGUUGUUGCAGUUAAAAAGCUCGUAGUUGGAUUUCCGGCGUGAGGGAUCAGUCUGACUUCUAGUCAGUACUUGGUCCUCUCAUGCCGUCCUUGAAUGGUGCAUCCUGGCAUUAAGUUGUCGGGGUGAGAGCCGUUCAUCGUUUACUGUGAGAAAAUUAGAGUGUUCAAAGCAGGCUUAUGCCGUUGAAUAUAUUAGCAUGGAAUAAUAAGAUAGGACUUUGGUACUAUUUUGUUGGUUUGAGAACCAAGGUAAUGAUCAAUAGGGACAGUUGGGGGUAUUCGUAUUCAGUUGUCAGAGGUGAAAUUCUUAGAUUUCCGGAAGACGAACUACUGCGAAAGCAUUUACCAAGGAUGUUUUCAUCG